RNAcentral lists this ribosomal RNA (106 nucleotides) under Taenia pisiformis. RNAcentral describes it as "5.8S ribosomal RNA". The stretch from base 28 to 106 matches the Rfam family "5.8S ribosomal RNA", at positions 1 to 80 of the family's 154-position model. Rfam says of the family: 5.8S ribosomal RNA (5.8S rRNA) is a component of the large subunit of the eukaryotic ribosome. It is transcribed by RNA polymerase I as part of the 45S precursor that also contains 18S and 28S rRNA. Lineage: Eukaryota; Metazoa; Platyhelminthes; Cestoda; Cyclophyllidea; Taeniidae. The record is from RNAcentral.
GAAGGAGAGAGUGCUAAUGAGAAUGUUAACUGUGUGCGGUGGAUCACUCGGCUCGUGUGUCGAUGAAGAGUGCAGCCAACUGUGUGAAUUAAUGUGAAUCGCAGAC